This 429-nucleotide ribosomal RNA is filed under the name Pseudomonadota bacterium. Its description in RNAcentral is "Proteobacteria bacterium partial 16S ribosomal RNA". It matches the Rfam family "Bacterial small subunit ribosomal RNA", at positions 355 to 776 of the family's 1533-position model. Lineage: Bacteria; Pseudomonadati; Pseudomonadota. The record is from RNAcentral.
UGGGGAAUAUUGGACAAUGGGCGAAAGCCUGAUCCAGCCAUGCCGCGUGUGUGAAGAAGGUCUUCGGAUGGUAAAGCACUUUAAGUUGGGAGGAAGGGCAGUAAGCGAAUACCUUGCUGUUUUGACGUUACCGACAGAAUAAGCACCGGCUAACUCUGUGCCAGCAGCCGCGGUAAUACAGAGGGUGCAAGCGUUAAUCGGAAUUACUGGGCGUAAAGCGCGCGUAGGUGGUUCGUUAAGUUGAAUGUGAAAGCCCCGGGCUCAACCUGGGAACUGCAUCCAAAACUGGCGAGCUAGAGUAGGGCAGAGGGUGGUGGAAUUUCCUGUGUAGCGGUGAAAUGCGUAGAUAUAGGAAGGAACACCAGUGGCGAAGGCGACCACCUGGGCUCAUACUGACACUGAGGUGCGAAAGCGUGGGGAGCAAACAGG